AUACAUCAUGCUCCCUUUGAAGCUUGAAUCUUCAAGCCAGAUAAUUCUUUUCAUGGAAGGGAAGAAGCAGGAAGUUGGAAUAUCCUGAAAAGCAGGAUGAUCAUAAGGACAAGACAACAGGACCCUGAACAAUAAAAUGUCUGUUCCUACUGAGGCAACACUUCAUGAGAAUUAUUACAUGGACAUUAGCAAUCACUCCAUUUUUAAUCAGAUUCCUCCCAAGAUACUUUCUAACUGGUAGCCACCACCACUCGAGAAUGAAAGGGAAUUGUAGUCCAAAGAAGAUCAUGCUUCAUCUAUAAAAUAUUCGGGAGAAUGAAUAAUAAGGCUGGAUUUACAAAUUGGAACCAAUUUGCAAAUUUAUAGGAACUCAAUGGACUUUUUGGCAUGCUGCAUGUCCCCAAGAAACGCACCUUAUUUUAGAAGAUUCUAAUAUAAUAAAGGGCUUAGUCUGUC
Alligator mississippiensis (American alligator) is the source of this 456-nucleotide long non-coding RNA. RefSeq lists it as uncharacterized. The record is from RefSeq and is a predicted model, not a curated record. The transcript has 2 exons. Lineage: Eukaryota; Metazoa; Chordata; Crocodylia; Alligatoridae.